UCUAGUAUGGAGGACUAGUGGUUAGGCCACAGCACUCUCACUGCUGCGACUUGGGUUUGAUUCCUGGUCGGGGAA
This is a non-coding RNA of Pangasius djambal, 75 nucleotides long. The record is from the annotation of a GenBank genome assembly. NCBI's taxonomy places the organism in Eukaryota, Metazoa, Chordata, Actinopteri, Siluriformes, Pangasiidae.